GGCGGGGUAGCUCAGUGGUAGAGCAGCGGACUCAUAAGCCGUUGGUCGGGAGUUCAAAUCUCCCCCCCGCUACCA
Molecule: transfer RNA, 75 nt
Filed under: Dehalococcoidia bacterium
Lineage: Bacteria; Bacillati; Chloroflexota; Dehalococcoidia
Description: tRNA-Met
Rfam family: tRNA
About the family: Transfer RNA (tRNA) molecules are approximately 80 nucleotides in length. Their secondary structure includes four short double-helical elements and three loops (D, anti-codon, and T loops). Further hydrogen bonds mediate the characteristic L-shaped molecular structure. tRNAs have two regions of fundamental functional importance: the anti-codon, which is responsible for specific mRNA codon recognition, and the 3' end, to which the tRNAs corresponding amino acid is attached (by aminoacyl-tRNA synthetases). tRNAs cope with the degeneracy of the genetic code in two manners: having more than one tRNA (with a specific anti-codon) for a particular amino acid; and 'wobble' base-pairing, i.e. permitting non-standard base-pairing at the 3rd anti-codon position.
Source: RNAcentral